This 1013-nucleotide unclassified non-coding RNA is filed under the name Hevea brasiliensis (rubber tree). The record is from RNAcentral. Lineage: Eukaryota; Viridiplantae; Streptophyta; Magnoliopsida; Malpighiales; Euphorbiaceae.
AGGCAAUUAGAUUAUAAUAUGCAAAAACUUAGAGAUGCAAAGAGCCAGUCCGCCACCAGAGCUGGUUUUUCAACCAACUACAGAGGUAAAUGGGCAUGGACACGGCGGAGCAGCAACUUGAACAAAAUCUUCAAGCAUCAGGAUUGCCAUUUUUAUGGUUGGUCUUAGAGUAGGAUCUUCCUGAAUGCACCAAAUGGCAACCUUCACAAAUCUCUCAAGCUUCUUCAUAUCAUUCAUGGCUUCCUCAUCAUUUUCAACCAAAGCACUUAUUAUUCCAUCUUGAUAGCAAUCGUAAGCCCAGUCAGUUAGAAUUGCUCUCUCUGCACUCACUUCUGUAUCCACACAUUUCCUACCACAAAUUAUCUCCAACAAUAAGACUCCGAAGCUGUACACAUCGGCCUUUACUGUGACUGGCAUGUUCCUGAACCAUUCUGGUGCAACAUACCCUCUUGUUCCUCUAGCAGCAGUAAACGUUUGGCUCUGGUCCAGCAGCAAAAGCUUUGCCAAUCCAAAAUCGGCAAUCUUGGCAUCACAAUGGUCAUCUAACAAAAUAUUUUGAGGCUUUAUAUCACAAUGAAUGAUUUGACUACUACACUCUUCGUGUAGGUAUGCAAGUCCUCUUGCAAUUCCAAAUGCUAUCUGGGUCCUCUGGCUCCAGCCGAGUUUUGCCUCUUUAAAAAGGAAGUUUGCUAGUGUUCCAUUGCUCAGGAACUCGUAUACCAACAAUCGAUGUUGUCCCUCAUCACAAAAUCCCACAAGCUGGACUAGAUUCUUGUGGUGGGUUUGGCCAAUCACUUUAACUUCAGUCCUGAAUUCUUUCUCACCUUCUUCAAAUAUUUUGUCCAAUUUCUUGACUGCAACUGGAACUUUAGUGCCCAUUUCUAAUAAGCCUUUAUAAACUAUGCCAAAAGAUCCCCUUCCUACCACUUCUUUGAAGCCAUCUGUUGCAAUAAAGAGCUCCUUGUAGCUAAAGCACCGCAAAUUGGAUUCUGCACCUCUUUCUGUACCUUGAG